RNAcentral lists this ribosomal RNA (446 nucleotides) under uncultured bacterium. RNAcentral's name for it is "bacterial SSU rRNA". It matches the Rfam family "Bacterial small subunit ribosomal RNA", at positions 329 to 792 of the family's 1533-position model. The record is from RNAcentral.
GUCCAGACUCCUACGGGAGGCAGCAGUGGGGAAUAUUGCACAAUGGGGGAAACCCUGAUGCAGCGACGCCGCGUGAGCGAUGAAGUAUUUCGGUAUGUAAAGCUCUAUCAGCAGGGAAGAAGAUGACGGUACCUGACUAAGAAGCCCCGGCUAACUACGUGCCAGCAGCCGCGGUAAUACGUAGGGGGCAAGCGUUAUCCGGAUUUACUGGGUGUAAAGGGAGCGUAGACGGCGAUGCAAGCCAGAUGUGAAAGCCCGGGGCUCGACCCCGGGACUGCAUUUGGAACUGUGUGGCUGGAGUGUCGGAGAGGCAGGCGGAAUUCCUAGUGUAGCGGUGAAAUGCGUAGAUAUCAGGAGGAACACCGGCGGCGAAGGCGGCCUGCUGGACCGCGACUGACGUUGAGGCUCGAAAGCGUGGGGAGCGAACAGGAUUAGAUACCCCAGUA